This 412-nucleotide unclassified non-coding RNA is filed under the name fungal sp. Its description in RNAcentral is "partial internal transcribed spacer region". The stretch from base 1 to 46 matches the Rfam family "Eukaryotic small subunit ribosomal RNA", at positions 1786 to 1831 of the family's 1831-position model. Lineage: Eukaryota; Fungi. The record is from RNAcentral.
AAGUCGUAACAAGGUUUCCGUAGGUGAACCUGCGGAAGGAUCAUUAACACAUCCUUUUCCAUAUCGUACCUUGGCGCACUCGUCUGUUGGAGCCUGUGGAGAGCAAGGCCGGUCGGGCAAUGGUUGAGAUUCUCGCCUCCACGAGGCGAGUCUGGCCCCCCGCGCUACCCAUCCAGCCGCUUCGGCGCGCUGAGGUGGAACUUCUACUCUGCAGGUCAACACAGCCUCUUACCAUGGCUGGCCCUUUUUUUUUCUUUUUAAACAACUUGCUUUUUUGAAAUACAAUCGGGCUGCAAUGUCAGAUUGAGAUGGGUUUACUCAUUUCUCUGCGUUGAGGUCCUUGAGUGGAUCGCGUCGAUCCAUUUCUAAACCAAACCAAACACAACUCUUAACAGCGGAUAUCUCGGUUCUC